AGUGUUGAUUAUAGAUCAGGUUUAUCAUGCGAGGCUUAGAAAACAAAAAGCACGAGCCUUGGCGAGUGCUUUUUCGUUUUCGUGCCGAGCAUGAUAAACCUGAUCUAUAAUCAACACUAACCUAUUAUUCUAUUUAUCCCACUUUUUAUUCAGUAAACUUUUUUUAUUUAAACAAAAUAAGUUUUCAUGAGUGUUUGUCGUACUUUGAUAAUGACUGUAGUGUAACCAAGGUCAGUGUAUUACUCCGCGUUCCAAAAAUAACCGCUGAUCAAAUAAUCAUUUUUUUAAAUCAGAAUAUCGUUCUGUAACAAAGUGUCGAGCGUUAUUAAUUACAAUUUUAAUCAUAUUGAAUUGCAAAUCUUUAAGUUUUAUGAUAUCAAUAUGACAUUAAGUUGUUAUAUACAAGGAACUACAUUUGUUUACAACGUAGCCUAACACCACACACAAUUCACUUUCGAUAUCAAACUAUCGAGUCGAUCACGAGGUGCACAAUAUUUCCUUCUUUGUUAUAAUAUUUGGUUAUUUCGUGACGAAAUAACAAAGAUUACUUGGAUUUAAGCUAAUUAUAUACAUUAACAUUUUGAAUGUUGAAAGUGGCACCAAAGAAUUGUGAGGCAAAGUUGUUCGAACUAGAGAAAGACAUUUGCUGGUGAAGUGACUGGGUGGGGCGAACAUCAAGAUCAACUUGUUCGACGGUAGACAGUGGUUGUUGGAAAGAUGCUUUGAAGAUAAAUCAGAUGGACACAUAUCCGAGUACAGCUUGUAAAUUAACACAGGAUUUCUUGGUCCAGACGAUUGUUUUCUACGGUCAAAGGGGAGCAACUCGAACUGACUUCUUCAAAGGGGAGCUACAACAACAGAACCUAUUUGCAUAGUGUUAAAUUUACCUAAUACUAGAGGUUUUAAUAAAAAUAAAUGACAAAAAAACAC
Molecule: long non-coding RNA, 930 nt
Organism: Dreissena polymorpha
Lineage: Eukaryota; Metazoa; Mollusca; Bivalvia; Myida; Dreissenidae
Exons: 2
Source: RefSeq, a predicted model, not a curated record